Molecule: non-coding RNA, 108 nt
Organism: Acanthosepion pharaonis
Lineage: Eukaryota; Metazoa; Mollusca; Cephalopoda; Sepiida; Sepiidae
Source: the annotation of a GenBank genome assembly
CCAUAUCAAGUUGAAAUGCCGGUUCCCGUACGAUUACCGAAGUUAAACAACGUCGAGACUGGUCAGUAUCUAGACGGGUGACCGCUUGAGAAUGCCGGGUGUUGUAAG